AGAAAAGGAUGUACGGAGAGAUUUUGAGUUUUCCUGUAAUUUUAAAUAUUUUUACCUCUAGUUUUAUGCACUGAUGCCUACAGAGAGACAAUCUAUGUAAAUAUAUCAAAAUGCCUGAAUAGGAAGGGGUUUUUUUCACCAUUAGGCUAAGUAAAUCAAGAUGAACGCAUAGUCUUCUGCCAUAACACUGGAGCCAACGCAGUGCGUCAUUUGCUAAGAAGCUUGAAAAGGAAAGGGUACAGGAAUCACUAAGGAUGUCUAGCGUUGAAAAUGGCUAGUGACUGCAUGUAAUACCCAUUUUUAUCCUGCAAAGGGUUGCCAUCCUUUUCAGAGCAAAUCAACAGAAUUGAAACAGGCAGAGGGGGAGUUACUCACUAGCUUUCUCCUGACAAGGUACGUGAUGUAG
Molecule: long non-coding RNA, 406 nt
Filed under: Struthio camelus australis
Lineage: Eukaryota; Metazoa; Chordata; Aves; Struthioniformes; Struthionidae
Description: lncRNA (ENSSCUG00000002167.1)
Source: RNAcentral